UGAACGCUGGCGGCGUGCUUAACACAUGCAAGUCGUACGAGAACGCUUCAGCUUGCUGAAGCUAGUAAAGUGGCGUACGGGUGAGUAACGCGUGGGUAAUCUACCUCUGAAUUGGGGAUAACAUUGCGAAAGCGAUGCUAAUACCGGAUAAUAUCCAUUAAACCUCGGUUUUUUGGAUCAAAGGUGGCCUCUACAUGUAAGCUACUGUUUGGAGACGAGCCCGCGUACCAUUAGCUCGUUGGUAGGGUAACGGCUUACCAAGGCAACGAUGGUUAGCUGGUCUGAGAGGAUGAUCAGCCACACUGGAACUGACACACGGUCCAGACUCCUACGGGAGGCAGCAGUGAGGAAUUUUGCGCAAUGGGGGAAACCCUGACGCAGCAACGCCGCGUGAGUGAUGAAGGCUUUCGGGUCGUAAAGCUCUGUCAAGUGGGAAGAACCCGCGCCGCACAAAUAGUGUGGUGCGCUGACGGUACCACUGAAGGAAGCACCGGCUAACUCC
RNAcentral lists this ribosomal RNA (502 nucleotides) under uncultured bacterium. RNAcentral's name for it is "bacterial SSU rRNA". It matches the Rfam family "Bacterial small subunit ribosomal RNA", at positions 30 to 504 of the family's 1533-position model. The record is from RNAcentral.